GUAGGUGGCAAGCGUUGUCCGGAAUUAUUGGGCGUAAAGCGCGCGCAGGCGGUCCUUUAAGUCUGAUGUGAAAGCCCACGGCUCAACCGUGGAGGGUCAUUGGAAACUGGGGGACUUGAGUACAGAAGAGGAAAGCGGAAUUCCAAGUGUAGCGGUGAAAUGCGUAGAGAUUUGGAGGAACACCAGUGGCGAAGGCGGCUUUCUGGUCUGUAACUGACGCUGAGGCGCGAAAGCGUGGGGAGCAAACAGGGAUUAGAUACCCUGGUAGUCCACGCCGUAAACGAUGAGUGCUAAGUGUUAGGGGGUUUCCGCCCCCUUAGUGCUGCAGCUAACGCAUUAAGCACUCGCCUGGGGAUACGGCCGCAAGGCUG
RNAcentral lists this ribosomal RNA (371 nucleotides) under uncultured organism. Its description in RNAcentral is "partial 16S ribosomal RNA". It matches the Rfam family "Bacterial small subunit ribosomal RNA", at positions 527 to 896 of the family's 1533-position model. The record is from RNAcentral.